CCUACGGGGGGCAGCAGUGAGGAAUAUGGCGCAAUGGGGGCAACCCUGACGCAGCGACGCCGCGUGAGUGAAGAAGGCCUUCGGGUUGUAAAGCUCUGUCGGAAGGGAAGAACGGUUCAGGUGUUAAUACCAUCUGGAUUUGACGGUACCUUCAAAGGAAGCACCGGCUAACUCCGUGCCAGCAGCCGCGGUAAUACGGAGGGUGCGAGCGUUAAUCGGAAUUACUGGGCGUANAGGGCGCGUAGGCGGCCCUGCAAGNCAGUUGNGAANGCACACGGCUCAACCGUGGAUGUGCAAUUGAAACUGCAGGGAUUGGGUACCGGCGGGGAAGAUGGAAUUCCCGGUGGAGAGGUGAAAGUCGUAGAUAUCGGGAGGAAUACCGGUGGCGAAGGCGAUCUUCUGGACGGAUACUGACGCUGAGGCGCGAAAGCGUGGGGAGCAAACAGGAUUAGAUACCCUUGUAGUC
RNAcentral lists this ribosomal RNA (466 nucleotides) under uncultured bacterium. RNAcentral's name for it is "bacterial SSU rRNA". It matches the Rfam family "Bacterial small subunit ribosomal RNA", at positions 338 to 795 of the family's 1533-position model. The record is from RNAcentral.